This 301-nucleotide ribosomal RNA is filed under the name uncultured Bradyrhizobiaceae bacterium. RNAcentral's name for it is "bacterial SSU rRNA". It matches the Rfam family "Bacterial small subunit ribosomal RNA", at positions 80 to 398 of the family's 1533-position model. Lineage: Bacteria; Pseudomonadati; Pseudomonadota; Alphaproteobacteria; Hyphomicrobiales; Nitrobacteraceae. The record is from RNAcentral.
GCGCCCCGCAAGGGAGCGGCAGACGGGAGAGUAACACGUGGGAACGUACCCUUCGGUUCGGAACAACCCAGGGAAACUUGGGCUAAUACCGGAUACGUCCGAAAGGAGAAAGAUUUAUCGCCGAGGGAUCGGCCCGCGUCUGAUUAGCCAGUUGGUGGGGUAAUGGCCCACCAAGGCGACGAUCAGUAGCUGGUCUGAGAGGAUGAUCAGCCUCACUGGGACUGAGACACGGCCCAGACUCCUACGGGAGGCAGCAGUGGGGAAUAUUGGACAAUGGGCGCAAGCCUGAUCCAGCCAUGCC